CCCUUAGAUGUUCUGGGCCGCACGCGUGCUACACUGAGUGGAUCAGCGGGUCAGGUUGCGCGAAAGCGUUUCCUAAUCUUUAAAUCCGCUCGUGAUGGGGAUUGACGGUUGCAAUUUUCUGUCAUGAACGAGGAAUACCUUGUAAGCGCGGGUCAUCAUCCCGCGCUGAAUACGUCCCUGCCCUUUGUACACACCGCCCGUCGCUCCUACCGAUUGAACGGUUUAGUGAGGGCCUCGGAUUGGUCUCGGCCCGCUCUUUACCGGGCGGCGCCGUUGGUCGAGAAGACGCUCGAACUUGAUCGUUUAGAGGAAGUAAAAGUCGUAACA
Molecule: ribosomal RNA, 327 nt
Filed under: uncultured eukaryote
Lineage: Eukaryota
Description: partial 18S ribosomal RNA
Rfam family: Eukaryotic small subunit ribosomal RNA
Source: RNAcentral